Molecule: ribosomal RNA, 496 nt
Filed under: uncultured bacterium
Lineage: Bacteria
Description: partial 16S ribosomal RNA
Rfam family: Bacterial small subunit ribosomal RNA
Source: RNAcentral
GAUGAACGCUGGCGGCGUGCCUAAUACAUGCAAGUCGAGCGAACGGACGAGAAGCUUGCUUCUCUGAUGUUAGCGGCGGACGGGUGAGUAACACGUGGAUAACCUACCUAUAAGACUGGGAUAACUUCGGGAAACCGUAGCUAAUACCGGAUAAUAUUUUGAACCGCAUGGUUCAAAAGUGAAAGACGGUCUUGCUGUCACUUAUAGAUGGAUCCGCGCUGCAUUAUCUAGUUGGUAAGGUAACGGCUUACCAAGGCAACGAUGCAUAGCCGACCUGAGAGGGUGAUCGGCCACACUGGAACUGAGACACGGUCCAGACUCCUACGGGAGGCAGCAGUAGGGAAUCUUCCGCAAUGGGCGAAAGCCUGACGGAGCAACGCCGCGUGAGUGAUGAAGGUCUUCGGAUCGUAAAACUCUGUUAUUAGGGAAGAACAUAUGUGUAAGUAACUGUGCACAUCUUGACGGUACCUAAUCAGAAAGCCACGGCUAACUACGU